GACACUUCUCAGGCAGUGCCAGAAGAGGGCGCUGUGUCCUGGGAGAGGGUGACUCAUCCUAGAGCUGCUACAGCACAAGAAGAAGUUGCAGAGGCCUCAGAUGCUAGUUCCYGCUCUCUUCAGCAUCCUCUCUUAGGUGCCUGGAGACGUCAACCGUGGAGCAAGACAACCUAGAGUACGCCAAGCAUGUAGGCCAUGUCUGUUCAAYGUCUGCCAGAAGCUCUCCCCCGACAGAGGACCCGUCAGCAAAGGUGAAGAGACGGAGAGACCCUGCUUUAGCCCAGGAGCACCCCCGAGGCUUUUAGGGGGUGUGUGUGUGACUGACUAUGUUUGUCCUCCACACACAGAUGUGCUGGAUGAGUUCAACAUGGAGCAUCUCUCAGCCAUCACGGAACCAUUUCUCAGCUAUUAGAUAGCUUUUUCCAGUCRAAAGUGUGCUCCCAAUGACCUCUUGACUCCGCCCCAUCCUUUUCCAGGAGAAAGUCCUGCACAUCAUUAAGGCCAUCUUCACGUUCAUGGGCGCCAACAUCACAUCUGGACGACGCCUAGCGCUUUCAGAUCAUCAACAGCACCACUAAGUCAACGAACUAGCGGCUGAUGCCUGCAGUGCUGCAGACUCUAGACAUCACCUCUUUCCUCUCUGCUAAUGAGGUCUACAUGUUGAGUGCCGUCACAGCCCUGCAACACGUCACUGAGACCCUGCCUCACUUCAUCAACCGGGACAAUAGGACACCGCUACAGCGUAAUGUUGCUCGACUGAGGCGGGUGGCAGAGAAGGCCACCACCACCCCAGAGCUGGCUGUGUGACUGGCCUCCCUCAGGACCACCGUGGCCACCAAGGUUCCCUCCCAGGGUCCUGCUGCCAACCCUCGAAAAAGUACUAGAAUAAGAUGGACUCCAAACAGCCAGCUUGUUCCCCUGAUGGGCAUCUUGAAAGAGCAGGUUGGUCACAUGGAGAAGGAUCAGCUGACCUCCCACCAAUCAGAGCUCACGUCCUUCCUGAUUUCUUUGGACUUCCGGGCCCAAC
Molecule: long non-coding RNA, 1027 nt
Organism: Salvelinus sp. IW2-2015
Lineage: Eukaryota; Metazoa; Chordata; Actinopteri; Salmoniformes; Salmonidae
Exons: 5
Source: RefSeq, a predicted model, not a curated record